CCCAAAAUUACUUGUUCAAGCAUUGUUUUCGAAUUUUUUCAUGCAUCAAAGCUCGUUAAGACUAGAUGGGGUAUCCCUACAUAGCGGGUGGGACCCACGGCGAAUGGUUCAUCAAGUCUUCAAAAAAGAAUAUAUACGAUUGCAUUGCAUAUACUAACGGAUGCGAUCAUACCAGCACUAAUGCACCGGAUCCCAUCAGAACUCCGCAGUUAAGCGUGCUUGGGCGAGAGUAGUACUAGGAUGGGUGACCUCCCGGGAAGUCCUCGUGUUGCAUCCCUCUUUUAUGUUUAACCUUUUUUUUUUUGGUUAAAACUUUAUGACUCCAUAACUUCUAGACAG
RNAcentral lists this ribosomal RNA (339 nucleotides) under Arabidopsis thaliana (thale cress). Lineage: Eukaryota; Viridiplantae; Streptophyta; Magnoliopsida; Brassicales; Brassicaceae. The record is from RNAcentral.